AUGGGCCGUAGCAGGAACCGCGGAGCAGUGGCUGGGACAGCAGGGAUGAGCAGACACCAGAGUACCCAAGGAAACGUAUCAGAAACUCUACAGCUGUAGCAGGCUCGCCCACAGUAGGAUACGCAAAGGAUGGACAAAAGCUCCAUCAUGGCAGCAAAUCCUCUGGGCAGCGACUACAGACCAGCUGUACCUACUCCAAUGCCAAGAGUGAGAGGAGCCUAGCCCAGCCCCUCGCCACCCGGCCAAAAUCUCAUGGCAUCUUUGCCCUUCCAAAGAGAAAACCUCCCAGGUCAAAGGCUUCUGAAGGGGAGAUCUGCAAGUGCUGGAUUUCAGAUGUUCUUUUGGGAAUCACUUGCUAAGACAUAGG
Vidua chalybeata is the source of this 367-nucleotide long non-coding RNA. RefSeq lists it as uncharacterized. The transcript is spliced from 3 exons. The record is from RefSeq and is a predicted model, not a curated record. Lineage: Eukaryota; Metazoa; Chordata; Aves; Passeriformes; Viduidae.